Molecule: ribosomal RNA, 903 nt
Filed under: Bacillus pumilus
Lineage: Bacteria; Bacillati; Bacillota; Bacilli; Caryophanales; Bacillaceae
Description: bacterial SSU rRNA
Rfam family: Bacterial small subunit ribosomal RNA
Source: RNAcentral
GUCGAGCGGACAGAAGGGAGCUUGCUCCCGGAUGUUAGCGGCGGACGGGUGAGUAACACGUGGGUAACCUGCCUGUAAGACUGGGAUAACUCCGGGAAACCGGAGCUAAUACCGGAUAGUUCCUUGAACCGCAUGGUUCAAGGAUGAAAGACGGUUUCGGCUGUCACUUACAGAUGGACCCGCGGCGCAUUAGCUAGUUGGUGGGGUAAUGGCUCACCAAGGCAACGAUGCGUAGCCGACCUGAGAGGGUGAUCGGCCACACUGGGACUGAGACACGGCCCAGACUCCUACGGGAGGCAGCAGUAGGGAAUCUUCCGCAAUGGACGAAAGUCUGACGGAGCAACGCCGCGUGAGUGAUGAAGGUUUUCGGAUCGUAAAGCUCUGUUGUUAGGGAAGAACAAGUGCGAGAGUAACUGCUCGCACCUUGACGGUACCUAACCAGAAAGCCACGGCUAACUACGUGCCAGCAGCCGCGGUAAUACGUAGGUGGCAAGCGUUGUCCGGAAUUAUUGGGCGUAAAGGGCUCGCAGGCGGUUUCUUAAGUCUGAUGUGAAAGCCCCCGGCUCAACCGGGGAGGGUCAUUGGAAACUGGGAAACUUGAGUGCAGAAGAGGAGAGUGGAAUUCCACGUGUAGCGGUGAAAUGCGUAGAGAUGUGGAGGAACACCAGUGGCGAAGGCGACUCUCUGGUCUGUAACUGACGCUGAGGAGCGAAAGCGUGGGGAGCGAACAGGAUUAGAUACCCUGGUAGUCCACGCCGUAAACGAUGAGUGCUAAGUGUUAGGGGGUUUCCGCCCCUUAGUGCUGCAGCUAACGCAUUAAGCACUCCGCCUGGGGGAGUACGGUCGCAAGACUGAAACUCAAAGGAAUUGACGGGGGGCCCGCACAAGCGGUGGAGCAUGUGG